UACAGAGGUGGCAAGCGUUGUUCGGAAUUACUGGGCGUAAAGGGCGCGUAGGUGGCCUGUUAAGUCGAACGUGAAAUCCCCGGGCUCAACCCGGGAACUGCGUCCGAGACUGGCAGGCUCGAAUCCGGGAGAGGGAUGUGGAAUUCCAGGUGUAGCGGUGAAAUCCGUAGAUAUUGGAAAGAACACCGGCCGCGAAGGCGAUUCACUGGCUCAUUACUGACGCUCAGGGACGAAAGCCAGGGGAGCAAACGGG
This 253-nucleotide ribosomal RNA is filed under the name uncultured bacterium. RNAcentral describes it as "partial 16S ribosomal RNA". It matches the Rfam family "Bacterial small subunit ribosomal RNA", at positions 524 to 776 of the family's 1533-position model. The record is from RNAcentral.